Molecule: non-coding RNA, 1407 nt
Organism: Salmo salar (Atlantic salmon)
Lineage: Eukaryota; Metazoa; Chordata; Actinopteri; Salmoniformes; Salmonidae
Source: RefSeq, a predicted model, not a curated record
ACUUUGUCCCUGACCUACUUGGAGAGCUCCUUGAUCUUCAUGGUGCCACUUGCUUAGUGGUGUUGCAGACUCUGGGGCCUUUCAGAACAGUCGACAGCUGCGGCUCCCGUCCGUACACGGUGGAGGCCUGGAUGCUGCUGUUGUGUGCGAGGAGAAUUACCUUCAGGUUGUUCUCCCACCCUUCCUGGUACCAAUCAAGGGACUUGCCCAUGGCAGUCUUAAGGGUCUAGUUGGUCCGUUCACCAAACCUGGAGGAGGGGGAGGAAAGCGAUAUCUAUUCACAAUCGUUCAUGACCUCGGUCACUCAAGAUGACCUCAGGAGAACCGUGGGUGUUGAAGAUGUCUACCAUCGCCUUGGAGGUUGCCUCGCCAGUCUCGUCCUUGAUGGGUAUCAUACAAAACGAAAAUAUAUUUUUGGUUCCAAGCACCCUUUUUAGUGGGUCAUGGAGGGAAUUUAGAGUUAUGCACAUACUCUUCCUUUACAGACCUUAAUGAGUAUUGCCUCCACCCACUUGGUAAAGUGAUCAGUCGCCGUCAGACACCAGCUGUUGCCAUUCCUGGAUUUCGUAAAGGGUCCGAUGAGGUCCACCCCUAACAUUUCAAGUGUUAGAGAGAAUAUUACUUUAUUAAUAUCGUAUCUGUGUCAUACAGUAUACAGAUUUUCAUGUUUGUAAGCAUACUGACACACACACAUUCUAUAAUAUUGAACUCUGCUGUGGUCAAAUAAAGCAACCAUUACAAAACAACUUAUCAAGGCAAAAUUUGAAUUGGGACACUUACCGAUCAUGUGCCAUGGUGAAACAACUUUGAUGGGCUUCAACUCCGGCGCAACAGUCUUCGCCCUCUCAAACUUCAGGCAGCCUAGACCUUUAAGUAAAAAGUGACAAAUUGGAACAUUGUGUGCUCUCUGAUAUGACAUUCAUUGAAAUCAUAAUCAUUUCAGAUAUAAUAGAAUGUGAUUGAUAAACAAAAGGUUAUUUCACUUGCCCAGCUGUCCACCUCCUUGACAAUUCCCAUCAGAAGGAGCGUAGGUUGAUUUUGGCAAUCACGCGCUUCACUCCGAAAUGGCCAGCAUGCAUCUCGGUCAGCACGGCCUCCUUCUCCUUCCCCCAUAGGUAGAAAUGAUUGCCUAACAAGUUGGAGGAGACCGCUUUACGGUCAGAUGCCGAGCAGUUUCAUCACCGCUUAGUAUGGCAACUACUCGGCAUCUGACCAUAAGACGUUACAGAGGGUAGCGCAUACGGCCCAGUACAGCACUGGGGACAAGAUUCCUGACAUCCAGGGCCUAUAUACCAGGCGGUGUCAGAAGGCCCCAAAAAUUGUCAGACUCCAGUCACCCAAGUCAUAGACUGUUCUCUCUGCUACCGCACGGCAAGUGGUACCGGAGCGCCAAGUCUGGGACCAAAA